Molecule: ribosomal RNA, 273 nt
Filed under: uncultured bacterium
Lineage: Bacteria
Description: partial 16S ribosomal RNA
Rfam family: Bacterial small subunit ribosomal RNA
Source: RNAcentral
CCCGCCGGCGACCGGCGCACGGGUGAGUAACACGUAUGAAACCUGCCCGUAGCAGGGGAUAAGCGGAAGAAAUUCCGUCUAAUACCGCGUAACAACCCAUGGAGGCAUCUCUGUGGGUUUAAAGGAAGCGAUUCCGGCUACGGAUGGUCAUGCGUCGCAUUAGCUUGUUGGCGGGGUAACGGCCCACCAAGGCGACGAUGCGUAGGGGUUCUGAGAGGAAGGUCCCCCACACUGGUACUGAGACACGGACCAGACUCCUACGGGAGGCAGCAG